RNAcentral lists this non-coding RNA (266 nucleotides) under Punica granatum (pomegranate). RNAcentral describes it as "Bacterial large subunit ribosomal RNA". It matches the Rfam family "Bacterial large subunit ribosomal RNA", at positions 966 to 1226 of the family's 2925-position model. Lineage: Eukaryota; Viridiplantae; Streptophyta; Magnoliopsida; Myrtales; Lythraceae. The record is from Rfam by way of RNAcentral.
CGGGUCAAGGCCGGCCAGUGAGACGAUGGGGAAUAAGCUUCAUCUUCGAGAGGAAAACAGUUCGGAUCACCAGCUAAGGCCCCUAAAUGACCGCUCAAUAAUAAAGGAGGUAAGAGUGCAGAGACAGCUAGGACGUUUGCCUAGAAGCAGCCACCCUUGAAAGAGUGCGUAAUAACUCACUUAUCGAGCGCUCUAGCGCCGAAGAUGAAUCGGGCUAUGCGAUCUAGGGGAGAGAGAAAAAGAGGAGAGAGAAAGUUAUUUUACUU